GGCAGACGUGCCCCAACCAGAUGUACCAGGCCUCUUCCAGAGAAGUCAUUUGUUGUGGGCUGAUUUCUACUUCCUGGUGCAAUUUACUUGGGAAAAGGGGCCUUUCAUCGUUGAUAUUCUGUGAACUGGCCAGAACCAGAUAGACAAUAAUGAACUUUACAAACCUGAUUUUGCAGAAUCUGAAAAACACCCCUUGACUGUCGGUCCUCAGCACUUCCUUUCUGCUCACCCAGAGUCCUUCUAUCUUGUACUGAUUAGCACAGGCAUCGCAUGAGCCGCUUCUUAGGGCGAGGGACUAAAUCCAACAAGAGGUACCAUGUUGUUUUCAUUCCCCAAGGAUCUCACCGGUCUCCCUUGCUGAGCUGUGAGCUCCCGGCGCUCAGAUGGAAUCUUCCUCUUCUUGGCAUGGACUUGAGCAACCCGCCCUGCUCCUGUCCUGCAGCCAGGAGCUGGGCGGGUUGCAGAAGACAAGGCACGUGCAGAAGACGAGGCUGAGAGGGACUCCGUAUUGUCCAGGCACGUGUGGGAUGCAGCACGCAGAUCAACUUCGGAACCCAGAAAAUACCCUCGACCACGUCCGAGUGAGGCUCAUUUCCCCUGAGGACGGCACUAAACGCAACCAAGUUCUUCAAUAUACUGUAUUAAGAACCCUCCGGGGACAAAAAAAUGCACUUUCAAGUGGUGUUUAGAAACUUGCCACCCCUUGCCUUUCUUCAUUUCUGAAUCUCUUGGAUGCUUCAUAAAACAAAGGAGAAAAGUGCCGCUUCUGUACUAAAUACGUACACAGGAUUCCUCUGUCUUACAGAGAAAACAGUACAGACCCAGUUGUUUCCCAACAGUCAUAGGACUCAUACCCAAUGCCGACGGACUACCAAGCGUAUUUGCACAAACCCUUAUCACACACAGCACAUGGAGUCUCCAGGCGUGGCCAUGAAAGAAAACGGCAUGUUCUCCUUGUCAAAAUGCCCUCUCCUUGCCAGCCCCCUGCACCAAACUGAACAACCACAGGACCUGAAUUUAACAGGUGAUGUUUCCCUUUGUUCUUCUGGAUGUUAUGUAUACUCAGGAGUAGCUCUCUCUGGGUUGUUCAAACACGUCAUUUAUUUAUUUAGUAUUUACUGAGUAUCUACUGUGUACCCCACAUAGGCAUGGAUUAAAGAGAUUCUUGCUUAGCUUCUGUAUUAGGAUUUCUCAGCCUUGGUACUGUUGCCAUUUGGAGCCAGAUAAUUCUUUGUCAUGAGGCUGUUCCAUGCCUGGUAGGAUGUUUAGCAUCCCUGGCCUUGACACACGAGAUAACAGCAGCACCUCC
This is a non-coding RNA of Kogia breviceps (pygmy sperm whale), 1309 nucleotides long. The record is from RefSeq and is a predicted model, not a curated record. Lineage: Eukaryota; Metazoa; Chordata; Mammalia; Artiodactyla; Physeteridae.